GCAGCCGGGGCGUUAGCGGUGCCUUUUACCUACAAUCCGCUAUAGUAGGGGUGUUGGAUGGCAGAGGGUUUUUAUCUAUGUAGCUGCCCUUUAUAAGUGGCGAUGAAGUUUGGGUCUUGCGCAAUACGUGCUUUUGAACCGUGUCAGGGCAGGAAUGCAGCAGCACUAAGAUUGAUUUCGUAUGUGCCGCAAGGGUGCCUGGCGGAGUUAACUGUAAAGGUA
Molecule: signal recognition particle RNA, 222 nt
Filed under: pig gut metagenome
Description: Bacterial large signal recognition particle RNA
Rfam family: Bacterial large signal recognition particle RNA
About the family: The signal recognition particle (SRP) is a universally conserved ribonucleoprotein involved in the co-translational targeting of proteins to membranes.
Source: RNAcentral